This 705-nucleotide ribosomal RNA is filed under the name Arthrobacter sp. GWS-BW-H157. RNAcentral's name for it is "bacterial SSU rRNA". It matches the Rfam family "Bacterial small subunit ribosomal RNA", at positions 12 to 731 of the family's 1533-position model. The record is from RNAcentral. Lineage: Bacteria; Bacillati; Actinomycetota; Actinomycetes; Micrococcales; Micrococcaceae.
UUUGAUCCUGGCUCAGGAUGAACGCUGGCGGCGUGCUUAACACAUGCAAGUCGAACGAUGAUGCCAGCUUGCUGGUGGAUUAGUGGCGAACGGGUGAGUAACACGUGAGUAACCUGCCCUUAACUCUGGGAUAAGCCUGGGAAACUGGGUCUAAUACCGGAUAUGACUCCUCAUCGCAUGGUGGGGGGUGGAAAGCUUUUUGUGGUUUUGGAUGGACUCGCGGCCUAUCAGCUUGUUGGUGAGGUAAUGGCUCACCAAGGCGACGACGGGUAGCCGGCCUGAGAGGGUGACCGGCCACACUGGGACUGAGACACGGCCCAGACUCCUACGGGAGGCAGCAGUGGGGAAUAUUGCACAAUGGGCGCAAGCCUGAUGCAGCGACGCCGCGUGAGGGAUGACGGCCUUCGGGUUGUAAACCUCUUUCAGUAGGGAAGAAGCGAAAGUGACGGUACCUGCAGAAGAAGCGCCGGCUAACUACGUGCCAGCAGCCGCGGUAAUACGUAGGGCGCAAGCGUUAUCCGGAAUUAUUGGGCGUAAAGAGCUCGUAGGCGGUUUGUCGCGUCUGCCGUGAAAGUCCGGGGCUCAACUCCGGAUCUGCGGUGGGUACGGGCAGACUAGAGUGAUGUAGGGGAGACUGGAAUUCCUGGUGUAGCGGUGAAAUGCGCAGAUAUCAGGAGGAACACCGAUGGCGAAGGCAGGUCUCUG